CUUUCGAAGCUGUUUUAAAAUUAAAUAAUUUUUUUUAAAACAUAAAAAAAAACUUUUAGAAAACCCAAAGCCUUUUCCUUUAACCCUUUCUGCUAGGGUUUCAUUCCAAAAACAUGCAGCCGCCGAACCACCAUCGUAUGGUGGCUGAUGAUGCACAGGCGAAGGCCGAUUUCGCCAAUGGAGGAGAACUCCGACUUUGCCCACGGAGGUUUGGUAUAGCGGACAUGGCUUGGACGUGGUACGUGGGGAUGUGUGUGGUGAACGGUGGUGGAGGAUGUGGGUAGUGCGUGGAGGUGGAAGCGGCGCCGGCCAAAGGGAGAGCCUCAAUAUUAGAGUUUGUUAUUCCUGAAAAAAUUUGGGGCUAUUGAGCUUGUGUAAUUGGGCUAAAAUUAUAUUUUGGGCCAGCAUUUAAACUUGAGUUUUAAAAUUUGUAUUGGACUGUUGUUAUUUAUUUUUAGUUUUUUUUUGUUUUGUAUGUAUAUGGGCCCGGACUAAAAUUGGAUAUUACAAUUUUUAUCAUGCAUUUAUUAUCGCUA
Molecule: long non-coding RNA, 536 nt
Organism: Gossypium arboreum
Lineage: Eukaryota; Viridiplantae; Streptophyta; Magnoliopsida; Malvales; Malvaceae
Exons: 2
Source: RefSeq, a predicted model, not a curated record